GGGGAGGGGGGGAGGGAGGGGAGCAAGAGAGACCUGUCAGUCAGGCGGCAUCCAGAGCGAAAACGAGGCCAGCGCUGGGUGGGAGCGGAAGGAGAAGGGCCGCACUCUCACUCUAAAAAACCCGCAAAAACCAGAUUGGGCCUGGACCUUCGUCUUCCUGUCUUGAGUGAUUACGACCAGUGAGACACCGUAUGUGCUCUAAGUCCACCUUUCCAGCCGUCUCACACUCCAUCCGACUUCUGGACUCCAACCGGACAAUUCAACAUCCCCGCUCCACCCCCACCCCCCUCCCCUUUUCGAUUCUCACCCUGUCUCUAAGGCCUGGAAUGUCCUUCCCUACUUAGAAAGGUUUAAACCGUCCUUUUAGAUCCAGCUCAAAUGCCAUCAUGUCUAUGAAUCUCUUCCCUGAUCCUCCAAACGAAUGAAAUUCCUCCCUCAUCUGAUAUCAUAGACUUCAUGCAUUUAAUUGCAACAUAAAUUGUGAUCAGUGUAUGCCUAAUUACAUCUUCUAGAAGAAGUUGCUCAAAGCAGGAACUGUCAUAAUUUGCAUUUCUCUUCUCUCCUAACCCCUCCCCCCAUCCCCAAACACUGCUUUGAAGAGUAGGUACUUAAUGAAUUGUUGGCUAAAUAUUAAAAAUGUCCUUUAAUGCUCAUGUCUAUUUGGACCUACAUGGGCCAUCUAAGACUUGAAUCAGAAAAAUAAAGAAGCCAUUGUGAUAUUAA
This is a long non-coding RNA of Monodelphis domestica (gray short-tailed opossum), 723 nucleotides long. RefSeq lists it as uncharacterized. The record is from RefSeq and is a predicted model, not a curated record. NCBI's taxonomy places the organism in Eukaryota, Metazoa, Chordata, Mammalia, Didelphimorphia, Didelphidae.